GAAAAGUACUAAAAAACGGGUUUUCCAUUGUAGCCAAAUUUAAGCGAAAGUUUGCAGGAAAUUGAUUCGUAUGUUUAUAUCAAAACCCAGAGAUAUCCAUAUGAUUAUAUUUAUAUUGUUAAGAACACGCAAGAAAAUUGACCCCUUAAAUGUAUGUGUAAUUUCUCAUACUUUUCUAAAAGACGCCUUCUCAUUAAAUUUAUUUGAUUCUAAUAACCACCAUACGUCCGGCACAUACCUUGUAUUUAACAAACUACUGAAUUAAAUGACUAAUUAAAAGUCCCCUAGGCAUUCACCGACCAACUCGACAACCAUCAGAAACGCUCAUCAAAGUUGAUGACAAGAUGAUAAAAAAUGGCGUCCCGUGAAAAUUUUCACUUGAGUGCGUUAGGAGAUUAGCGGUUCCGUAUCGUUUGCAAUUGAUUUUUGUGUGAUUUGGUCCCGCUAUUUGCAUACGUCGAAGAAAGUCAACCGGAGUCAUCGUUUGUAUCUUUUGUACCACCAUGCACUCCUGCUCUAGCAAGCAGUUUUCCAUUCGGAACACGACAACUGAUGCCAAUAUCGAUCCACACAACCGUAUACUUCCCAUCGUCAAGAUCCAGCAGCGUCUAGAAGCCGAUCUAAAAGCCAAACACAACCGGAACUCGCAGAGGGCAUGUGGGAAUUGAGCAGCUCAUUGGAUAACUACAGGCACUGUUGAAUUUACUUCCACGUGACACGGAAGCACCAUUUGCCUUUUUCAGAAAAAAAUUUUUAAAGCUCUUUUCAGUGGAAUGUAUUCAACCGUCUAAGAUGAUUGCGUUUCAUAAGAUCAGCGGGAGAAUAAAAGAGACAACCAGUGCCACGCAACGCUGAUCUGUGCCACCUUAGUAAAGUCUAGCUCAUUGGAGUUAAGUAACCUUCAUUUAAUUCCACCAAUUAUUUCGAUAUCUUAGCAAAUACGUAUUUCGACCACAACUGUGUGGUCGUCUUCAGUGUCUCGUACUUGACUCGACUUACGAUAAUUGUUGGAAUUAAAUAGAGGCUACUUAACUCGUCUUAGACGGUUGACCAUUUGCCUACCAGCUUUCUUUUCGCAAAAAUAUGUUGCUUCAUCCGUCGGAUGACUCGCUGCCGCUAUCUAUGCAAUAAAGUACAGGAUCAGCAAAGGUCACUCCAAAAACCUCACAAAUUAUGCAAGCAAACAUUUAAUCAAUAAAUUAUCUGUCGUCCAUUA
This is a long non-coding RNA of Armigeres subalbatus, 1216 nucleotides long. RefSeq lists it as uncharacterized. The record is from RefSeq and is a predicted model, not a curated record. Lineage: Eukaryota; Metazoa; Arthropoda; Insecta; Diptera; Culicidae. The transcript has 2 exons.